Molecule: ribosomal RNA, 428 nt
Filed under: uncultured bacterium
Lineage: Bacteria
Description: partial 16S ribosomal RNA
Rfam family: Bacterial small subunit ribosomal RNA
Source: RNAcentral
GUGGGGAAUAUUGCGCAAUGGGGGAAACCCUGACGCAGCAACGCCGCGUGAAGGAUGAAGGUUUUCGGAUUGUAAACUUCUUUUGUCGAGGACGAAACAAAUGACGGUACUUGACGAAUAAGCCACGGCUAACUACGUGCCAGCAGCCGCGGUAAUACGUAGGUGGCAAGCGUUGUCCGGAUUUACUGGGUGUAAAGGGCGUGUAGGCGGGACGGUAAGUCAGAUGUGAAAUGUAGGGGCUCAACCCCUGAACUGCAUUUGAAACUAUCGUUCUUGAGUGAUGGAGAGGCAGGCGGCAUUCCUUGUGUAGCGGUGAAAUGCGUAGAUAUACGGAGGAACACCAGUGGCGAAGGCGGCCUGCUGGACAUUAACUGACGCUGAGGCGCGAAAGCGUGGGGAGCAAACAGGAUUAGAUACCCCGGUAGUCC